CACAUUAAAAAUUAUUGUCUUAAUAACUAGCCAUUACAAAAAUAAUUUGCCGUAACGGAAAGGCAAGGAAAACUUGAUAGAAUGCAUGCAUAUGGUUUGAAGCAGAGGCAGUUGCUCCAAAAAAGAUGGAUGAUUAUUUUGGCAAACUUGUGUUUAUGCAAUAAAAGCCACCUUUAAAAAUUUUCCAAUCAUUGAUUCCUGCAACAAGCUUAGACUUAAAAGAGUUAAUGUAACUGGAGAUAAAGAAGUAUGUGCAGGAUUUAAUUUCAUGACUAAAGAGGACUCCGAAGAAGAAUUAAAGUUCUGGUGGAUCAAAGAUCGAUGAAUGAUUUGGUUUUAACUGGUUUGCAUCUUAUAACCAAAGUACAUAAUAUGAUUUA
Long non-coding RNA from Hydra vulgaris (swiftwater hydra), 380 nucleotides. RefSeq lists it as uncharacterized. The record is from RefSeq and is a predicted model, not a curated record. NCBI's taxonomy places the organism in Eukaryota, Metazoa, Cnidaria, Hydrozoa, Anthoathecata, Hydridae.